RNAcentral lists this ribosomal RNA (1003 nucleotides) under uncultured bacterium. Its description in RNAcentral is "bacterial SSU rRNA". It matches the Rfam family "Bacterial small subunit ribosomal RNA", at positions 355 to 1375 of the family's 1533-position model. The record is from RNAcentral.
UGGGGAAUAUUGGGCAAUGGGCGAAAGCCUGACCCAGCAACGCCGCGUGAAGGAAGAAGGUCUUCGGAUUGUAAACUUCUUUUAUCAGGGACGAAGUAAGUGACGGUACCUGAUGAAUAAGCCACGGCUAACUACGUGCCAGCAGCCGCGGUAAUACGUAGGUGGCAAGCGUUAUCCGGAUUUACUGGGUGUAAAGGGAGCGCAGGCGGGAAAGCAAGUCAGCUGUGAAAUCCAUGGGCUUAACCCAUGAACUGCAGUUGAAACUGUUUUUCUUGAGUGAAGUAGAGGUUGGCGGAAUUCCGAGUGUAGCGGUGAAAUGCGUAGAUAUUCGGAGGAACACCGGUGGCGAAGGCGGCCAACUGGGCUUUUACUGACGCUGAGGCUCGAAAGUGUGGGGAGCAAACAGGAUUAGAUACCCUGGUAGUCCACACUGUAAACGAUGAUUGCUAGGUGUGGGGGGGUCUGACCCCUUCCGUGCCGCAGCUAACGCAAUAAGCAAUCCACCUGGGGAGUACGACCGCAAGGUUGAAACUCAAAGGAAUUGACGGGGACCCGCACAAGCAGUGGAUUAUGUGGUUUAAUUCGAAGCAACGCGAAGAACCUUACCAGCACUUGACAUCCAACUAACGAAAUAGAGAUAUAUUAGGUGCCCUUCGGGGAAAGUUGAGACAGGUGGUGCAUGGUUGUCGUCAGCUCGUGUCGUGAGAUGUUGGGUUAAGUCCCGCAACGAGCGCAACCCCUGCCAUUAGUUGCUACGCAAGAGCACUCUAAUGGGACCGCUACCGACAAGGUGGAGGAAGGUGGGGAUGACGUCAAAUCAUCAUGCCCCUUAUGUGCUGGGCUACACACGUAAUACAAUGGCCGCCAACAAAGAGAAGCAAUACCGCGAGGUGGAGCAAAACUCAAAAAGCGGUCUCAGUUCGGACUGCAGGCUGAAACCCGCCUGCACGAAGUUGGAAUUGCUAGUAAUCGCGGAUCAGCAUGCCGCGGUGAAUACGUUCCC